GCAUGCGAGUCGCGCGAGAAUGUAGCAAUACAGGACAGCGGCGAAAGGGAGAGGACAACACGGGAAUCUGCCUUGGGGACGAGGAUAGCGUCGGGAAACUGACAGUAAUACUCGAUAAUGUUUGCGGACCAAAGGUGUGAUUCCGCCCCAAGAUGAGCCCGUGCCCCAUUAGCUAGUUGGCAGGGUAAUGGCCUACCAAGGCUGUGAUGGGUAGCUGGUGUGAGAGCACGACCAGCCUCACUGGCACUGAGACACUGGCCAGACACCUACGGGUGGCUGCAGUCGAGAAUCUUCGGCAAUGGACGAAAGUCUGACCGAGCGACGCCGCGUGCGGGAUGAAGGCCUUCGGGUUGUAAACCGCUGUCGUAGGGAAUCAAAUGCAUAGGGGUACUCCCCUUUGUUUGAGUGAUCCUAGGAGGAAGGAGAGGCUAAGCUCGUGCCAGCAGCCGCGCUAAGACGAGCUCUCCAAACGUUAUUCGGUACUACUGGGCUUAAAGAGUUCGUAGGCGGCUCUGUAGGUGAGAUGUGAAAGCCCUCGGCUUAACCGAGGAACUGCGUUUCAAACCACAGGGCUUGAGGGAGAUAGGGGUAAGCGGAACAGAUGGUGGAGCGGUGAAAUGCAUUGAUAUCAUCUGGAACACCGGUGGCGAAGGCGGCUUACUGGGUCUUUUCUGACGCUGAGGAACGAAAGCUAGGGUAGCGAACGGGAUUAGAUACCCCGGUAGUCCUAGCCGUAAACGAUGAGCACUAGUCUGAGGGACUCUCACAGUUUCUCGGACGUAGCGAAAGUGUUAAGUGCUCCGCCUGGGGGAGUAUGGUCGCAAGGCUGAAACUCAAAGGAAUUGACGGGGGCUCACACAAGCGGUGGAGGAUGUGGCUUAAUUCGAGGCUACGCGAAGAACCUUACCAGCUUUUGACAUG
This 921-nucleotide ribosomal RNA is filed under the name uncultured Planctomycetota bacterium. RNAcentral's name for it is "bacterial SSU rRNA". It matches the Rfam family "Bacterial small subunit ribosomal RNA", at positions 53 to 988 of the family's 1533-position model. Lineage: Bacteria; Pseudomonadati; Planctomycetota. The record is from RNAcentral.